Molecule: unclassified non-coding RNA, 431 nt
Filed under: Hevea brasiliensis (rubber tree)
Lineage: Eukaryota; Viridiplantae; Streptophyta; Magnoliopsida; Malpighiales; Euphorbiaceae
Source: RNAcentral
GAUAAGAUUACCAAAGAGACCUCAUUCAACUAAAAGAUGCAAAAAUCUAGAAAUUUCCAAAUUUGGACAGAAAUAAUGAAAAAUCUAGAAAAAAAAAAAUAGAAAAUAAAUCAUAAAAAAUUCCACAAAAUUUAUUACAUAACCCUAACAUGUCAAACUAAAACAUGGAAAAAAGAAACUUGCAGUUUGAGUUCAUAUUGUGUAUGAAUAAAAUGGUAAAAUACAACAUAAAUGCAAUUAACUUGAUUCCGAAUAGUAAAAUUGAAAAUAUAUUAAAAAUAGCAAAACCAUGUAAAGGGGUAUGAAAUUUUAUGUCCUGAAAGCUAACAAGGCAUAUGUAGUUGUGGAAGAAAAGAAACCAAUGAAAACCAAUAUGGAUUUGCAUAAAAACAUCAAACAAGACACAAUUUCACAAGUAUAACAUAUCUGAC